CAUAUUAGUAAGCGGAGGAAAAGAAACUAACCAGGAUUCCCUUAGUAGCUGCGAGCGAACAGGGAAGAGCCCAGCACUGAAUCCCCGAGGCCUAGCUUCGAGGGAAAUGUGGUGUUUGGGAGGGUUCAUAUACCUGAUACUGCUGCACCGCGUCCAAGUCCAUCUUGAAUGAGGCCACGGUCCCGAGAGGGUGCCAGGCCCGUAGUUGGCCGGUGCUGGUGUUGGGUGAACCUCUCCUUAGAGUCAGGUUGCUUGAGAGUGCAGCCCUAAGCGGGUGGUAAACUCCAUCUAAGGCUAAAUACAACCACGAGACCGAUAGCGAACAAGUACCGUGAGGGAAAGUUGAAAAGAACUUUGAAGAGAGAGUUCAAGAGUACGUGAAACCGCUCAGGGGUAAACGGAAAAGACCCGAAAUUUCCGAAAGGGGAGAUUCACGUCUUCUCGCUGGCUCGACUCCUUGUCCAUUGUCGACGGUUCUAUGCCUCAUUCGAACUCGUUCGGAGCGAGUGGUGGAGCCGCACUGGUCGAGGAUGUAGGGUCGCGGCAGACCGCACUUCUCCCCUAGUAGGACGUCGUGACCCGUCCGAUCAUGGUCUAAGAGUGUGUUUGGGAGCCUGUUCGUGUUGUUUCGGCAAUUCACGAGCAGACCUUCGCAUUUCUGGCCAUGAAUGCUUCGGUCGGUAUCAAAAGACAGUGUUGGAUCGCUCUGCGGAGGGAGAAAUCCUUCUUCGAGAGCGCGAUUGGUCCUUGGCAAGGUAGUGAGUCGCGUUAGUCAAGACGGGCCUACGUCCGUCUGACUGCUCUCGCUCCUGUUGGUCGAGGUACUCUAUCGCCGGUCAAUUUCUAUGGCACUAGUCUACGGCGAAUCAGUUUUGGGCUCUUGUCCGACCCGUCUUGAAACACGGACCAAGGAGUUUAGCGUGUGUGCGAGUCAUUGAGUGUAAAAACUCAAAGGCGAAAUGAAAGUGAAGGGAACUUUACGUUUCUGAGGGAAGAUGAGACGGUUUCUUUUCCAAGAGCCUCUCCGCACUCCCGGGGCGUCUCUAUCUCAUUGCGAGAGGAGGCGCACCUAUAGCAUACACGCUGAUACCCGAAAGAUGGUGAACUAUGCCUGGCCAGGACGAAGCCAGGGGAAACCCUGGUGGAGGUCCGCAGCGAUUCUGACGUGCAAAUCGAUCGUCGGAGCUGGGUUUAGGGGCGAAAGACCAAUCGAACCAUCUAGUCCUGGCUUUCUUAAACUAUGAAGCCAAGGGGUUUCGGAUCAGAGUGCCAAGUGGGCCAAUUUUGGUAAGCAGAACUGGCGCUGUGGGAUGAACCAAACGCGGAGUUAAGGCGCCUCAAUCGACGCUCAUGUGAGACCAUGAAAGGCGUUGGUUGCUUAAGACAGCAGGACGGUGGCCAUGGAAGUCGGAAUCCGCUAAGGAGUGUGUAACAACUCACCUGCCGAAGCAACUAGCCCUGAAAAUGGAUGGCGCUGUAGCGUCGUGCCUAUACUCCGCCGUCAACGGCAACGCAGGCAGUCCUCUCACGGGGACGGCGCUGUUAAGCCUUGACGAGUAAGAGGGCCGCGGCGAUGUGCGCAGAAGGGUUUUGGGCGUGAGCCUGCCUGGAGCCGUCGUCGGUGCAGAUCUUGGUGGUAGUAGCAAAUACUCCAGCGAGGCCCUGGAGGACUGAUGUGGAGAAGGGUUUCAUGUGAACAGCUGUUGCACAUGAGUCAGUCGAUCCUAAGCCCUAGGAGAAAUCCGAAGCGAUGGGUUGCCGUUAAACGUUAACAAGCUUGAUGUUGGCACCAUUUGGGCGAAAGGGAAUCUGGUUCCUAUUCCAGAACCUGGCAGUGGAACCGUUCCAAAUCGGGCCCUCAUUGAGGACUCGUCAGGGCAACCUGAAAGGACCCGGAGACGCCGUCGGGAGAUUCAGGGAGAGUUGUCUCUUCUCUAUAAGCGAUCGAGUUCCCUGGAAACCUCUAGCAGGGAGAUAGGGUUUGGAUCGCGAAGAGCACCGCAGUUACGGCGGUGUCUGAAUCUUCCCCACGGACCUUGAAAAUCCGGGAGAGGGCCACGAGGAACCCCACGCCAGAUCGUACCCAUAUCCGCAGCAGGUCUCCAAGGUGAAAAGCCUCUAGUCGA
Molecule: ribosomal RNA, 2126 nt
Filed under: Naranjakotta sp. G STC-2019
Lineage: Eukaryota; Metazoa; Arthropoda; Insecta; Hemiptera; Miridae
Description: partial large subunit ribosomal RNA
Rfam family: Eukaryotic large subunit ribosomal RNA
Source: RNAcentral